GCAGGUGAUGAUUAGUAUGUCGCCCCAGUCUUAUUUAAAUAGAUGAUGAUUGACUAUUAUUAUCUGAUGC
Molecule: small nucleolar RNA, 70 nt
Organism: Rhopilema esculentum
Lineage: Eukaryota; Metazoa; Cnidaria; Scyphozoa; Rhizostomeae; Rhizostomatidae
Product: small nucleolar RNA U31b
Source: RefSeq, a predicted model, not a curated record